RNAcentral lists this ribosomal RNA (583 nucleotides) under uncultured bacterium. RNAcentral's name for it is "partial 16S ribosomal RNA". It matches the Rfam family "Bacterial small subunit ribosomal RNA", at positions 355 to 1375 of the family's 1533-position model. The record is from RNAcentral.
UGGGGAAUUUUGGACAAUGGGCGAAAGCCUGAUCCAGCAAUGCCGCGUGUGUGAAGAAGGCCUUCGGGUUGUAAAGCACUUUUGUCCGGGAAGAAAUCCUUGGCUCUAAUACAGUCGGGGGAUGACGGUACCGGAAGAAUAAGCACCGGCUAACUACGUGCCAGCAGCCGCGGUAAUACGUAGGGUGCAAGCGUUAAUCGGAAUUACUGGGCGUAAAGCGUGCGCAGGCGGUUUGCUAAGACCGAUGUGAAAUCCCCGGGCUCAACCUGGGAACUGCAUUGGUGACUGGCAGGCUAGAGUAUGGCAGAGGGGGGUAGAAUUCCACGUGUAGCAGUGAAAUGCGUAGAGAUGUGGAGGAAUACCGAUGGCGAAGGCAGCCCCCUGGGCCAAUACUGACGCUCAUGCACGAAAGCGUGGGGAGCAAACAGGAUUAGAUACCCUGGUAGUCCACGCCCUAAACGAUGUCAACUAGUUGUGGGGAUUCAUUCCUUAGUAACGUAGCUAACGCGUGAAGUUGACCGCCUGGGGAGUACGGUCGCAAGAUUAAAACUCAAAUGAAUUGACGGGGUCAUAGCUGUUUCCU